GGAAGGGUGGCCGAGUGGUUAAGGCAAAAGUUUGCUAAACUUUGCUCCCGCAAGGGGGCUCCUGGGUUCGAAUCCCAGCCCUUCCGCCA
This 89-nucleotide transfer RNA is filed under the name Candidatus Magasanikiibacteriota bacterium. RNAcentral's name for it is "Candidatus Magasanikbacteria bacterium tRNA-Ser". It matches the Rfam family "tRNA". Rfam says of the family: Transfer RNA (tRNA) molecules are approximately 80 nucleotides in length. Their secondary structure includes four short double-helical elements and three loops (D, anti-codon, and T loops). Lineage: Bacteria; Candidatus Magasanikiibacteriota. The record is from RNAcentral.